AAACUGGGGCUAAUACCGGAUAGGCAAUUUUUCCUGUAAUGGUUCUUUGUUUAAAUGUUCUUUCGCCUAAGGAUGGGUCUGCGGCCGAUUAGGUAGUUGGUUAGGUAAUGGCUUACCAAGCCGUUGAUCGGUACGGGUUGUGAGAGCAAGAGCCCGGAGAUGGAACCUGAGACAAGGUUCCAGGCCCUACGGGGCGCAGCAGGCGCGAAACCUCCACAAUGUGAGAAAUCGCGAUGGGGGGAUCCCAAGUGCCAUUCUUAACGGGAUGGCUUUUCAUUAGUGUAAAAAGCUUUUGGAAUAAGAGCUGGGCAAGACCGGUGCCAGCCGCCGCGGUAACACCGGCAGCUCUAGUGGUAGCAACUUUUAUUGGGCCUAAAGCGUCCGUAGCCGGUUUAAUAAGUCUCUGGUGAAAUCCUGUAGCUUAACUGUGGGAAUUGCUGGAGAUACUAUUAGACUUGAGACCGGGAGAGGUUGGAGGUACUCCCAGGGUAGAGGUGAAAUUCUGUAAUCCUGGGAGGACCGCCUGUUGCGAAGGCGUCUAACUGGAACGGUUCUGACGGUGAGGGACGAAAGUUAGGGGCGCGAACCGGAUUAGAUACCCGGGUAGUCCUAACUGUAAACGAUGCGGACUUGGUGUUGGGGUGGCUUUGAGCUGUCCCAGUGCCGAAGGGAAGCUGUUAAGUCCGCCGCCUGGGAAGUACGGUCGCAAGACUGAAACUUAA
This 722-nucleotide ribosomal RNA is filed under the name uncultured archaeon. Its description in RNAcentral is "bacterial SSU rRNA". It matches the Rfam family "Archaeal small subunit ribosomal RNA", at positions 137 to 859 of the family's 1478-position model. The record is from RNAcentral.